AACUUUUAGCAACGGAUCACUUGGCUCUCGCAUCGAUGAAGAACGCAGCGAAAUGCGAUAAGUAAUGUGAAUUGCAGAAUUCAGUUAAUCAUCGAAUCUUUGAACGCACCUUGCGCCCUUUGGCUAUUCUGAAGGGCAUGCCUGUUUGAGUAUCAUGAACACCUCAACUCCUCAUGGUUUGCCAUGAUGAGCUUGGACUUUGGGGGUUUGCUGGCCUAUGGUUGGCUCCUCUCAAAUGGAUCAGCUUGCCAGUGUUUGGUGGCAUCACAGGUGUGAUAAAUAUCUACGCUUGUGGUUUCCACCAUGUAGCCUUCAGCGAUGAAGGUUCUCUGGAGCUCACAAAUGUCCCUCCUCAGCGAGGACAGCUUUUUGAACGUUCGAUCUCAAAUCAGGUAGGACUACCCGCUGAACUUAAGCAUAUCAAUAAGCGGAGGCU
RNAcentral lists this unclassified non-coding RNA (436 nucleotides) under uncultured Tomentella. RNAcentral's name for it is "sequence contains ITS2". The stretch from base 1 to 155 matches the Rfam family "5.8S ribosomal RNA". The record is from RNAcentral. Lineage: Eukaryota; Fungi; Basidiomycota; Agaricomycetes; Thelephorales; Thelephoraceae.